RNAcentral lists this ribosomal RNA (253 nucleotides) under uncultured bacterium. RNAcentral describes it as "partial 16S ribosomal RNA". It matches the Rfam family "Bacterial small subunit ribosomal RNA", at positions 524 to 776 of the family's 1533-position model. The record is from RNAcentral.
UACGUAGGGGGCAAGCGUUGUCCGGAUUUAUUGGGCGUAAAGAGCGUGUAGGCGGCCAGGUAGGUCUGCUGUGAAAACUCGAGGCUUAACCUCGAGCUGUCGGCGGAAACCAUCUGGCUAGAGUCCGGAAGAGGAGAAUGGAAUCCCCGGUGUAGCGGUGAAAUGCGCAGAUAUCGGGAAGAACACCCGUAGCGAAGGCGGUUCUCUGGGACGGUACUGACGCUGAGACGCGAAAGCGUGGGGAGCGAACAGG